Molecule: ribosomal RNA, 253 nt
Filed under: uncultured bacterium
Lineage: Bacteria
Description: partial 16S ribosomal RNA
Rfam family: Bacterial small subunit ribosomal RNA
Source: RNAcentral
UACGGAGGGGGUUAGCGUUGUUCGGAAUUACUGGGCGUAAAGCGCGCGUAGGCGGAUUAGAAAGUUGGGGGUGAAAUCCCGGGGCUCAACCUCGGAACUGCCUCCAAAACUGCUAGUCUAGAGUUCGAGAGAGGUGAGUGGAAUUCCGAGUGUAGAGGUGAAAUUCGUAGAUAUUCGGAGGAACACCAGUGGCGAAGGCGGCUCACUGGCUCGAUACUGACGCUGAGGUGCGAAAGCGUGGGGAGCAACCAGG